RNAcentral lists this ribosomal RNA (253 nucleotides) under uncultured bacterium. RNAcentral's name for it is "partial 16S ribosomal RNA". It matches the Rfam family "Bacterial small subunit ribosomal RNA", at positions 524 to 776 of the family's 1533-position model. The record is from RNAcentral.
UACGUAGGGAGCAAGCGUUGUCCGGAAUCAUUGGGCGUAAAGCGCGCGUAGGCGGCCCGAUAAGUCCGCUGUGAAAGUCAACGGCUCAACUGUUGGAUGCCGGUGGAUACUGUCGGGCUAGAGUACGGAAGAGGCAAGUGGAAUUCCUGGUGUAGCGGUGGAAUGCGCAGAUAUCAGGAGGAACACCUAUAGCGAAGGCAGCUUGCUGGAACGUUACUGACGCUAAGGCGCGAAAGCGUGGGGAGCGAACAGG